RNAcentral lists this ribosomal RNA (254 nucleotides) under uncultured bacterium. RNAcentral describes it as "partial 16S ribosomal RNA". It matches the Rfam family "Bacterial small subunit ribosomal RNA", at positions 524 to 776 of the family's 1533-position model. The record is from RNAcentral.
CACGUAGGGUGCGAGCGUUGUCCGGAAUUAUUGGGCGUAAAGAGCUCGUAGGCGGUGUGUCGCGUCGGCCGUGAAAACCUGCAGCUUAACUGUGGGCUUGCGGUCGAUACGGGCAUCACUGGAGUUCGGCAGGGGAGACUGGAAUUCCUGGUGUAGCGGUGAAAUGCGCAGAUAUCAGGAAGAACACCAAUGGCGAAAGCAGCGUUCUGGGACGGUACUGACGCUGAGACGCGAAAGCGUGGGGAGCGAACAGG